RNAcentral lists this ribosomal RNA (403 nucleotides) under Verrucomicrobiota bacterium. RNAcentral's name for it is "Verrucomicrobia bacterium partial 16S ribosomal RNA". It matches the Rfam family "Bacterial small subunit ribosomal RNA", at positions 355 to 776 of the family's 1533-position model. Lineage: Bacteria; Pseudomonadati; Verrucomicrobiota. The record is from RNAcentral.
UGGGGAAUAUUGCACAAUGGGGGAAACCCUGAUGCAGCGACGCCGCGUGAGCGAAGAAGGUUUUCGAAUCGUAAAGCUCUGUCCUAUGAGAAGAUAAUGACGGUAUCAUAAGAGGAAGCCCCGGCUAAAUACGUGCCAGCAGCCGCGGUAAUACGUAUGGGGCGAGCGUUGUCCGGAAUUAUUGGGCGUAAAGGGUACGUAGGCGGUCUAUUAAGUCAGGUGUGAAAGCGUGAGGCUUAACCUCAUUAAGCACUUGAAACUGAUAGACUUGAGUGAAGGAGAGGAAAGUGGAAUUCCUAGUGUAGCGGUGAAAUGCGUAGAUAUUAGGAGGAAUACCGGUGGCGAAGGCGACUUUCUGGACUUUUACUGACGCUCAGGUACGAAAGCGUGGGGAGCAAACAGG